AUUGAACGCUGGCGGCAUGCCUUACACAUGCAAGUCGAACGGCAGCACGGGAGCAAUCCUGGUGGCGAGUGGCGAACGGGUGAGUAAAGUAUCGGAACGUGCCCAGUCGUGGGGGAUAACGUAGCGAAAGUUACGCUAAUACCGUAUACGAUCUAUGGAUGAAAGCAGGGGAUCGCAAGACCUCGCGCGAUUGGAGCGGCCGAUAUCAGAUUAGGUAGUUGGUGGGGUAAAGGCUCACCAAGCCGACGAUCUGUAGCUGGUCUGAGAGGACGACCAGCCACCCUGGGACUGAGACACGGCCCAGACUCCUGCGGGAGGCAGCAGUGGGGAAUUUUGGACAAUGGGCGAAAGCCUGAUCCAGCCAUGCCGCGUGCAGGAUGAAGGCCUUCGGGUUGUAAACUGCUUUUGUACGGAACGAAAAGGUUUGGCCUAAUAAGCUGAGCUCAUGACGGUACCGUAAGAAUAAGCACCGGCUAACUACGUGCCAGCCGCCGCAGUAA
RNAcentral lists this ribosomal RNA (500 nucleotides) under uncultured bacterium. RNAcentral describes it as "partial 16S ribosomal RNA". It matches the Rfam family "Bacterial small subunit ribosomal RNA", at positions 30 to 523 of the family's 1533-position model. The record is from RNAcentral.